AGUGCUCGAGUGGCGAACGGGUGAGUAACACGUGAGUAACCUGCCCUUGACUUUGGGGUAACUUCAGGAAACUGGGGCUAAUACCGGAUAGGAGCUCCUGCUGCAUGGUGGGGGUUGGAAAGUUUCGGCGGUUGGGGAUGGACUCGCGGCUUAUCAGCUUGUUGGUGGGGUAGUGGCUUACCAAGGCUUUGACGGGUAGCCGGCCUGAGAGGGUGACCGGCCACAUUGGGACUGAGAUACGGCUCAG
RNAcentral lists this ribosomal RNA (247 nucleotides) under uncultured Actinomycetales bacterium. RNAcentral's name for it is "partial 16S ribosomal RNA". It matches the Rfam family "Bacterial small subunit ribosomal RNA", at positions 86 to 334 of the family's 1533-position model. The record is from RNAcentral. Lineage: Bacteria; Bacillati; Actinomycetota; Actinomycetes; Actinomycetales.